RNAcentral lists this ribosomal RNA (371 nucleotides) under uncultured organism. RNAcentral's name for it is "partial 16S ribosomal RNA". It matches the Rfam family "Bacterial small subunit ribosomal RNA", at positions 527 to 896 of the family's 1533-position model. The record is from RNAcentral.
GGAAGGUGCAAGCGUUAAUCGGAAUUACUGGGCGUAAAGCGCGCGUAGGCGGCUAGAUAAGUCGGGUGUGAAAGCCCUGGGCUCAACCUGGGAACUGCAUUCGAUACUGUCUAGCUAGAGUGUGGUAGAGGGAGGCGGAAUUCCGCAUGUAGCGGUGAAAUGCGUAGAGAUGCGGAGGAACACCAAUGGCGAAGGCAGCCUUCUGGACCAACACUGACGCUGAGGCGCGAAAGCGUGGGGAGCAAACAGGAUUAGAUACCUGGUAGUCCACGCCCGUAAACGAUGUCAACUAGCCGUUGGGAGCAAUUUGGCUCUUGGUGGCGCAGCUAACGCGAUAAGUUGACCGCCUGGGGAGUACGGUCGCAAGAUUA